Molecule: long non-coding RNA, 353 nt
Organism: Phascolarctos cinereus (koala)
Lineage: Eukaryota; Metazoa; Chordata; Mammalia; Diprotodontia; Phascolarctidae
Source: RefSeq, a predicted model, not a curated record
CCCAGCCGUUGAUUGACUUUGGAGGUUCCCUUGAAUUGAUUCAACAAUAUUACCUCUCUGCCCAGCCAGAUGCUAUUUGUCUUCCUGCAGUGGUCAUCUGGCAAGUCUCCAGAAUCUAUAUCAACCAUUUGCUAUCACAGUCUCAUCUGCCUCCAAGCAGUGGUCAUACUGUGCUUUAUGCACAAUAGAGAAGAGGAUAAAAGAAACCAGAAUAGCAACCAACCUGAUUGCCCUUCCUAGAAGCUCUGUAAGAUAUCGUGGACAUUAUUCAAAUAUGGCUCCCAACUCAUAUGUACAAACAUAUUUAUAGCAGCUCUUUUUGUGGUGGCAAAGAAUUGGAAAUUGAGGAGAUG